AAGAAGACAACAUGUAUUCAUGUUAUACAAACGCUAUAUACGGUGCCCAAAUACACAAACUGAACUUGUAAAAAAAAAGCAAUUAACCAAUGAACAUUUUUUUCUUUGUAUUUAUUUUUCUGUGUAUUUCGGUACACUAUGCUCACAAUUUUUACUUUUGCCAAACAUUUUCAAGUCAACCGCCACGCCGGCUACCAGAGUGUCACCUACAAAAUGCAAACAAUAAAUUAUGAAUUAGUAUCUUCCAGUUAUCGAGUUAUUACGUACUCAUCAAUCCAAUAAGGACAAUUUGCUACGAGCCUUAAAAAAACAUUUGCCCGGUCAAUUGAUUCUGCUAUUAGUACUUUAUUCCAAACUGGUGCACUAGAAACAGAGAUAAAGUUUAAGGGCAGUAUCCAUUAUUGCUGUUUAAUGAACUCUAUAAUAAGACAAAGAUAAUUAAGGGCACGAGCUAAGUAAAAUCAAUCACGUACCUUGCAUCCUUUCCUCCUCAGCCUUUCAAUAGUGACGUCAUUGCUGAAGUCGAGAACAAGCUCACUGAGACACGGCAGGUGCAGAAGCCACUCCGGGAGUUUCUUCAUGUUUUCGAACUCAGAAAGGUACAGGUGUGAGAGCCUUGGCAUUGCG
Molecule: long non-coding RNA, 627 nt
Filed under: Sorghum bicolor (sorghum)
Lineage: Eukaryota; Viridiplantae; Streptophyta; Magnoliopsida; Poales; Poaceae
Description: long non-coding RNA (SBIC_LNC011431)
Source: RNAcentral